CCUCUCUUAGCGCAAUUGAAUAGAGCGUCUGGCUUCGGACCAGGAGGUUAUAGGUUUGAGUCCUAUAGAGAGGGCCA
RNAcentral lists this transfer RNA (77 nucleotides) under Mycoplasmataceae bacterium. Its description in RNAcentral is "tRNA-Arg". It matches the Rfam family "tRNA". Rfam says of the family: Transfer RNA (tRNA) molecules are approximately 80 nucleotides in length. The record is from RNAcentral. Lineage: Bacteria; Bacillati; Mycoplasmatota; Mollicutes; Mycoplasmatales; Mycoplasmataceae.